RNAcentral lists this unclassified non-coding RNA (350 nucleotides) under soil metagenome. RNAcentral describes it as "partial contains 5.8S ribosomal RNA, internal transcribed spacer 2, and large subunit ribosomal RNA". The stretch from base 1 to 120 matches the Rfam family "5.8S ribosomal RNA", at positions 35 to 154 of the family's 154-position model. The record is from RNAcentral.
GAUGAAGAACGCAGCGAAAUGCGAUAAGUAAUGUGAAUUGCAGAAUUCAGUGAAUCAUCGAAUCUUUGAACGCACAUUGCGCCCGCUAGUAUUCUGGCGGGCAUGCCUGUUCGAGCGUCAUUUCAACCCUCAAGCUCUGUUUGGUGUUGGGAAUCGGCGUAGCGGCCUUCGGGCAGCUGCCGUUCCCUAAAUCUAGUGGCGGUCCCGCUGUAGCCUCCUCUGCGUAGUAGUUUUCUCCUCGCACCGGCAGCUUAGUGGUGACCUCGCCGUAAAACCCCCAACUUCUGAAAGGUUGACCUCGAAUCAGGUAGGAAUACCCGCUGAACUUAAGCAUAUCAAUAAGCGGAGGA